CCUACGGGAGGCAGCAGUGGGGAAUUUUGGACAAUGGGCGAAAGCCUGAUCCAGCCAUACCGCGUGCGGGAAGAAGGCCUUCGGGUUGUAAACCGCUUUUGUCAGGGAAGAAAUACUUCGGGCUAAUACCCUGGGGUGAUGACGGUACCUGAAGAAUAAGCACCGGCUAACUACGUGCCAGCAGCCGCGGUAAUACGUAGGGUGCAAGCGUUAAUCGGAAUUACUGGGCGUAAAGCGUGCGCAGGCGGUUCUAUAAGACAGAUGUGAAAUCCCCGGGCUCAACCUGGGAACUGCAUUUGUGACUGUAGAGCUAGAGUACGGUAGAGGGGGAUGGAAUUCCGCGUGUAGCAGUGAAAUGCGUAGAUAUGCGGAGGAACACCGAUGGCGAAGGCAAUCCCCUGGACCUGUACUGACGCUCAUGCACGAAAGACGUGGGGAGGCAAACAGGAUUAGAUACCUGGUAGUCCACGCCCUAAACCGAUAGUCAACUGGUUGUUGGGUAAAGGGUUUCGUUCUUCAGUAACGAAGCUAACGCGUGAAGUUGACCGCCUCGGGGAGUACGGCCGCCAAGGUUGAAACGUCAAAGAAGUAGUAGACGNGNGAGAGUCGACGAGACACACGGAGGAGAGG
Molecule: ribosomal RNA, 630 nt
Filed under: uncultured bacterium
Lineage: Bacteria
Description: bacterial SSU rRNA
Rfam family: Bacterial small subunit ribosomal RNA
Source: RNAcentral